Molecule: unclassified non-coding RNA, 200 nt
Filed under: fungal sp.
Lineage: Eukaryota; Fungi
Description: partial internal transcribed spacer region
Rfam family: Eukaryotic small subunit ribosomal RNA (bases 1-46)
Source: RNAcentral
AAGUCGUAACAAGGUUUCCGUAGGUGAACCUGCGGAAGGAUCAUUACCGAGAGUCAUCUCUCCACCCGCAUGUGUACCGUCCUCUGUUUCUUCGGCGGGCCGGCCCGUUCCGGCCCGUCGGUGGUAACUCUCGUGGAACCUGUCGUCUGAGUUGGGCUUCCAAAUGAACAAAACUUUCAACAACGGAUCUCUUGGCUCCG